Molecule: RNA transcript, 1544 nt
Organism: Cyanistes caeruleus (blue tit)
Lineage: Eukaryota; Metazoa; Chordata; Aves; Passeriformes; Paridae
Gene: PARS2
Gene name: prolyl-tRNA synthetase 2, mitochondrial
Source: RefSeq, a predicted model, not a curated record
UGGUCUAAACACUUGCACAAGACCUGACAAACUUAACUGUAGGUGUGCCAAUGUGUUCCCAGUACAUUUUUGUGGCCAGCUGCUGGCAUUUCCUGCUCAUCUGACUUUCUCCAUUGCCUCCAGGUUUUCAUUCCCUGCUCAUCUUUGCUAUGGUAGCACUUUUUCAGACUCUGUGGAGUUGUGGUGGAUCUGGGGCUACUCAGGUGUGGUAACACCACCCAUAAAAGGUAUGUGCAACUCCUCUAAGUAGUAGCAGAGCUUGGAAGGAUGUGUUUAACCCUGAGUGGGCUGUGUGUGCUGUCACACCUUCCCUGGGAGGGUGUGCAGGAUCUGCCAUCCUCUUCUCAUGAACGCAAUUUCUCUCAAGUCCCAGCUGCAAAUAGUUAAUUACUGUUCAAUUGCAGUGUCAUUGCCCAACUCCUUUAAGUCUCUGUGUUCAGCCAGGAAGAGAGGACAGGGAAUCCUUUCUGUCAUGCUUCCUGUGGGCCCUAUCUAUCCCAGAGAAGGCUCCUGGCUGCUCCUGAGGUUCCCCCAGUUUGAGAAACCCCCUGAGGACCAGGCUGAUUGUGCCAGCACCAGAGCCACUCACCUCAGCAAGUGAUAAAACAGUGGCACAUCUUACCCAUGUGAGCCCACCCUGCAGGGAAGGGAGGAGGACACAGCACCCACUGAGAGUCCAGCCAGUCUCCUCCAGGAGCAGCUCUGGCCACAGCAGGCUGUAAAGGGUUGAUUAUCCCUGCAGGUCUGAGCACACUCACCAGUCACCUACUGCCAGCUGCAGGGAAGGGCAGCAGUGUCACAACCUCCCCACUCAAGUGUAAUCUGAAAGUUCCCCGCCAAUUACGAAGAUGUCUUGACCUCUUUCAAGCUGCCUGUUCCUCACUCAGCUGGAUAAAGGAGAGAAGCCAUGUGGAUUCCUGCUGUUCAUCCCUAGCCAAGGUGGACUAUUUCAGACUAAAGCCUUCCCUGUCUGCUUUGAGCCCGUUAGGCUUUGUUCUGGUUCUCCGUGGGGAAGCCGCCAAGAUGAAUACAGCUCCAGGAAUGGGUACUGAGGGAAGGGCUCCUACCUGCACUGGCUCUGCAACGUGCUGCUGAUGCUGCUAGAGGAAAAACUGGCUUUUAAGCAGCAGAGUAUGACUUUUUGGAGGAUACAAGGAGCUCCUGGCACCUAAAAGGGCUCAGACCCGGCUGCUCUCAUCCAUGAAGUGCAUCUGUUUGCUUGCAGGUGAAACAGAGCAAAACUAAUGGGAAGGGUUGUCCAAGCAUCCCUUGAAAAGGGCAAAGGCCUGAGGAUGCAGGCAGAGGUAAUGUGGUCACUGCUGAUCUCCUGCCAGGCUCACCUGCCUGUGGGCAGUGUGUGCUUCAUGCUGGGUGCUCAGCACAUUCCAGCCAGGCUGCUCCCAGCUUGAGCUGCCUGUCCUGGACUGUCCUGUACAAAACGUCCCUGUGUGAGGAGCUGCUUCCCAGCGGGCACAGACAGUCUGGGAGGUGAGAAGAGCUACAUGGCCUGCUGUAAAGGAGUGCACAUGAGGAAUUCAUAGAAG